UACGUAGGGUGCGAGCGUUGUCCGGAAUUAUUGGGCGUAAAGGGCUCGUAGGCGGUUUGUCGCGUCGGGAGUGAAAACCCAGGGCUUAACUCUGGGCUGGCUUUCGAUACGGGCAGACUAGAGGCAUGCAGGGGAGAACGGAAUUCCUGGUGUAGCGGUGAAAUGCGCAGAUAUCAGGAAGAACACCCGUGGCGAAGGCGGCUCUCCGGGACGGUACUGACGCUGAGACGCGAAAGCGUGGGGAGCGAACAGG
Molecule: ribosomal RNA, 253 nt
Filed under: uncultured bacterium
Lineage: Bacteria
Description: partial 16S ribosomal RNA
Rfam family: Bacterial small subunit ribosomal RNA
Source: RNAcentral